UGAUUCGGUGGGUGGUGGUGC
RNAcentral lists this microRNA (21 nucleotides) under Mus musculus (house mouse). Its description in RNAcentral is "microRNA miR-L-20a". Lineage: Eukaryota; Metazoa; Chordata; Mammalia; Rodentia; Muridae. The record is from RNAcentral.